This 459-nucleotide ribosomal RNA is filed under the name uncultured bacterium. RNAcentral describes it as "partial 16S ribosomal RNA". It matches the Rfam family "Bacterial small subunit ribosomal RNA", at positions 338 to 795 of the family's 1533-position model. The record is from RNAcentral.
CCUACGGGUGGCAGCAGUGAGGAAUAUUGGUCAAUGGCCGAGAGUCUGAACCAGCCAAGUAGCGUGAGGGAAGACGGCCCUACGGGUUGUAAACCUCUUUUGUCGGGGAGCAAAGCGAGUCACGUGUGACUCAUUGUGAGUACCCGAAGAAUAAGCAUCGGCUAACUCCGUGCCAGCAGCCGCGGUAAUACGGAGGAUGCGAGCGUUAUCCGGAUUUAUUGGGUUUAAAGGGUGCGCAGGCGGAAGAUCAAGUCAGCGGUAAAAUUUUGAGGCUAAACCUCUUCGAGCCGUUGAAACUGGUAGUCUUGAGUGAGUGAGAAGUAUGCGGAAUGCGUGGUGUAGCGGUGAAAUGCAUAGAUAUCACGCAGAACUCCGAUUGCGAAGGCAGCAUACCGGAGUGCAACUGACGCUCAUGCACGAAAGUGUGGGUAUCGAACAGGAUUAGAUACCCGGGUAGUC